UAAUUAGCAGCAGAGCCAUGUGCGGCUGUGCUGCGAGCCCCAUUCUAAUUAGAAAGGACUCGCAGAUGGGUCACAUCAACAGCACAAGGAGGUUUCUCUGCCUCCUUUAGCCCUUUCUGCUGCUUCUCCUCCUUGCUGUCCCUGGACCUUGGGCUGAGAAGUAGGUGAGGUUGGAAGGACUCUUCUGGAGAUACUGUUAGCAGAAGGAAGCAAGUUUUCGCACAGAUUGAUGGAAACGCAGCGAUAAUCAGCGAUCUCCAGAGCUGAAGCAUCUUCCAGCUCGUUCUUUUCCUGCCUUCUUUUGGGCACCGCGGUGACCCUCAGAGUAUCAAAGAUGAACAAAUCAUGCCCAGGUGGAAGGCUUUUCACAUGCAAAUUGUCAAUAUCAUUGUGAUGUGGCAUUUUUAUUAAUCCAAACCAGCUUAUCUGACCAAAAAGAAAGAAAGAUCAUUCUGUUUCAUAUCAAACAUUUUGUUCUGACAAUGAACAUAUUACUCUACCACAACAGUCUAUUUUCGACAGUUUACUCUCAUCUUCCUGCAACCCAUCUUACAAAUGAGACAUAAAAUUGAGGCUCCGGAUGCUUAUGGACCCAAUCCUGCAGCAUUUAUGCACCUGUUUAAGUUGAAUCAUGUGAGGAUUUGCAGUGGAUUGAAUGUGGGGAAUGACUAAUACUCGAGGAACUAUGGCAAUUGCUCCAAAGCAGUUUGCAGUUCUUCAGGAUAAAGAGCAAUGCAUAAAGCUAGGAUGCAUUAUCUCCUCCUCUGCCAACUCUGUCUGGAAUGCUCUAAAGGAUGGACUCGGAGCAAAAGCAGAAUAAAAUGUACUCGCCUGCAGCCCGUGCCUGGUACACUCAUUUCUUGCUAUCCCUACCAUAAGGCUCCUGGUUGAGCAGAAGUUGGCCGUCAGCAAUGCAACAAAAUGCACCAAAAUCACCAGGUUUUCACCAUGGAGUUGCACUUGAUGUUACAAAGCCUCGUUAAUUGAUUACAACAUGAUUCAGCAAGCUGCACUCUUCCUGACUCUUCUCCGUAGCUUGCUGCCUCUCCAUUCAAAACCCGGCUGUGCUCCAAGGGUCUCGUCCCUGUGUUUGAAGCCCGAGCAGCUGAAGAAUGACCUUUCUCUCUGACCUACAUCUUUCAUAGGAAUAAAGCAACAGAUGACACCAAGUAGAGGAUUCACAGAGCUCUUUGUGCAAGCCCCUACAGCGGAGCUCCCCAGUGAAGGGCAUCAAGCUUAACUCUCAGCUCACCCUGCAAGGAGGCUUUUUCAUUCCACUUAAUAGCAGCAUUUCCACCGACUUAUGCAGGAGCAGAGUCAAAUCCCAACGUGUCUUUUAACAGCAGCUACUCCUCGGCAGAAGGAGCAUCUCAGCAAAUUGGACAUCCCUGCCUCCUGCGAGGGGUUUCUUCCAGGCAAACCCACUCCCAGAAUGAUCCCCCACUUUCUGCUCAGCCUCCGUCGGGUUUUCUGUUCCUGCAUGUCACCACCGUGAUUGGCAACCGAAGCAGAAAGAUCAGACAAAGGAAGGCUGAGGCACCACCUGGGACGGAGCUGAAAGAGAUGCAGGAGCAGAUAUCUCCAUCUGCCUCCUCGAGGCUUUGUGGGGCUGGGAUACCAGCUGCGGUGUGGUGCUCCCGGAUCCCAGGGGACUGCUGCUCUGCCCCGCUGCAUCUCGGGAAGCCUCGAUGGCAGCACCAGCACCACCAAGGUCACCUUCCUCAUCCUCAGGCAGGUCACACUGCUACGAUACUCCGGAGUGUGGUGAGAUAGAGGAGUCCAGAAAGGAUAAAACAGAAGGAAAAUGAGUGUUUUCUCAGAUGUAUGCAGAAGGUAAAUUAUGGGGCUACUUACAGUACCUAAAAUCACUUUCUCUCCAGGGGCCUGAAUAUGCUCUGUUAGAAAAUCUGCAUACGAGCCUGUAAAUUUGCCAUCUAUGCUACAGUGUAAUUGUACCAGACUCACCGAUGUUGUAUUUUUUACCUAUAAAUGUGAUGGCGAUAUGCUUGUCUCCUCUUCCUACAAGAGUUUCACCAAUUCCCAGGAAAGCAAACCUCCCCCAGUGGGCUCUUUCUCCCAUUUAAUCCAGAUAAAGAGGAAAGUCCUCCAUGGAGGGCGUGCACACAAAACCCACAUUAGACACCCGGGAGUAUAGGGACACGCUCUGCCCCACUGCAAAGCACCUCGGCACCCCUGCGAGGCAUCACAGGACGUGACCAACAGCCCUCCCGCGCCCUAAGCAUGGCACUUCUGUGUUGAUGCAAAAAGCCAUGCACAAAAGGGAAAAUGGCAGCUUUCCAAGUGGCCCCAGUUAAUAGCUCUGUUUUGCUUAAUGGUGCCUCCCAUUCAGACUAAAGAUGCUGUUUUAAAUAUGUAAGCAAUUAGUAUCUCUCUCUCUCUCCCUCUCUCGCAACACAUCUGUGCUUCUUCUAUCUGCUGCAUUACAAAUCUGCUGCGUCCCUCUCCAGCUCGGCGGCGCGUGUAGCGCCAGAUAUCCUGGUCCUCAGCAACUUUCUGGGCUGCAGGAAUUACAGCUGGCUGCGGAGGUGCUCCUGCCUGGCCCUGCCUACGCCCUCAGCACCACCGUCCUCUCCUCCUGAGCUGGUGCUGGGCUGGCAUAUAAUAGGGGUGCAGGGAAAGGGACCUUUUGGUCUGGUUUUGGCUAUUCUUUGGUCCAGCCUCAUGUUUUUUCCUUCUUCCCACCUGCCACUUUCACACACUUUUUGUCUCCCUUUCUGGAGAGGAGCCGCAGCCUUUUCUCUCCGUACCAAACCGCAGGCUGCCCAUGGGAGCGUGGCCGGGAUGCACCCAGAGGUUUCUGCU
This is a non-coding RNA of Anas platyrhynchos (mallard), 2823 nucleotides long. The record is from RefSeq and is a predicted model, not a curated record. Lineage: Eukaryota; Metazoa; Chordata; Aves; Anseriformes; Anatidae.